RNAcentral lists this long non-coding RNA (794 nucleotides) under Chinchilla lanigera (long-tailed chinchilla). RNAcentral's name for it is "lncRNA (ENSCLAG00000026565.1)". The record is from RNAcentral. Lineage: Eukaryota; Metazoa; Chordata; Mammalia; Rodentia; Chinchillidae.
GCUUCCCUCCGUGACAGGCUCAGAGAAUACUGUUCCGGGGAAAGAGCAGAGAUCACCACCAGCAACAUUUGUCCUAGAUAGAAGUAAGCGGAGCAGGCUGGAGCGCUCACUCUGGAACCCCCGAAGGGCUUGGCAUCCUGCGCAGGAAGUGUGGUGUCCUCCCUUCUGCCUCUCAGCCUGUGAUACCCUUUGCUGUACCCUGCCGCCUCCAAUGCAAGCAGGACAGAGCCAGGCAAGGAUUCCUCCACCCGCUGCAGUGGACCCUUACAAGGUAUGGGGAGUCUGGAUGAGGCACCAUCUCCCUCUAGACUGUAAUGCCCCUGAUUCAGAGAAUCCUUUUAUGUCUCCGCAUUGCCACCACUCAGCCUGGAGUCGCCUCUCAAUCACUGUCACCUGGGGUACAUGAGACACAAAGCAGUCAUUUAUGAAGUUCUCAUGAAUGCUGUCACAGGAUUUCAUCUCUGAUCUCAUUAAAUCCUCAAUGGCUGCCAGAGAACUAUUACCCUGUAUUUUUCUAUUGAGGAAACGGAGACCGAGUGAGGAGAGCUACAUGGAAGAGUAGGAUGUGAACUCAGGGCUGUUUGGCUCUAAAGUCCAUGCUCUUUUCACCCACAAUGUUACCGUUUACAAAAGUUUCUUGGGUAGAUCCAGAUUAUACGAAGUGAAGUUGUUUCAGAUCCUAACUGAUGAUGUUUCCAAACUCUCUUUCUCUCUCUCUCUCUCUUUGGUGAUGCUGGAGAUCAAUCCCAGGGCCUCUUGCAUGAUAGACAAGUAACUACUGAGCUAUAUAUCCC